GGUGCCAACAGCGGAUGGAGCGCCAUUAGGGCUGUGACGAAGCUGCAGCCUAGACAGUUCAUGAACAGGAGAGGAGGUUUUAUGGCUGUUGCCGGUGGAAAGGAACGGAUUGCUCGAUAUAGAAGAAUUCAAGGUCAAUACUGAAGGACUUAGCCGUUUGAAAUUCAUUGGCAGCAUAAUAGUUGAAAGCCUUCGAGUUUACAUUCUUCAAAUUCAGCACGGAGAAUGAAGUUUCAUUUUCGGCCUUUUAUACCUGAUCUUGAAAUGUGGUUCCAGUUAUGUUGA
Molecule: long non-coding RNA, 285 nt
Organism: Rhodamnia argentea
Lineage: Eukaryota; Viridiplantae; Streptophyta; Magnoliopsida; Myrtales; Myrtaceae
Exons: 2
Source: RefSeq, a predicted model, not a curated record